Molecule: long non-coding RNA, 2051 nt
Organism: Papaver somniferum (opium poppy)
Lineage: Eukaryota; Viridiplantae; Streptophyta; Magnoliopsida; Ranunculales; Papaveraceae
Exons: 5
Source: RefSeq, a predicted model, not a curated record
AAGAAAAAAAGAGAAAAACUUGUACUCGAGUUUUCUUUGAAGUCUCUUCACGAACUCACCACUCGAUUUUCUUCUGUGAUUAAGUGCUACUUUUUUUGAUUCUUUCGCGAGAUGGAGACGGAGAGUAGAUAGUUUUGGGGGUUUCUCUUUUAAUCUUCUUUUGUUGUUGAUUGAGGUUUUGAGACUGUUCUUUUUUUUUCUUUUAAGAUUUGAAGAAGGGGUUUUGUGUUUGUGUUGUAGGAAUUCGUCGAUUGAAGGAAAGCUUGGGUUUUUGAUACACUGGAUUGCAAACAGAUUCAAUUUUGUGUUUGUUUCUCUGAAGCAAUAAAUCCUAACCCUAUUUUUUUUAAAAAAAAUUUUGCAGGUACGAUUUUUGUCCAAGAUAAGUUACGGAGAAACCCUAAUACCCAUUCAAGGUUUUAUGGAAAAGAAUGAAGAGGAUUGUGCCAAUUUAUGAUUAAUAAAUAGUAAUAUGUAUACAUAGAUGCUGAAGUAGUUGUAAAGAUGAACUUGGCUCUUGGGAUCCAAGUAAAAGAUAGUGAACAAAUACCAAAACUAAUCUUAAACCAACGGGAGUGGCAGGCCCAUGAGUUUUCCCUUUGAUUAUGUGCCUACUUUAUCACCAAUAUGGAGCCAAUUAAGUUUUGGGAAUUCCUAUCAGUUAUCCUUGGGGGUCAAUUGGCUAUGAGAGGUAAACAUUGAGUUACCUAUUCCCGGCUUUCUUGAAGUAAAGAAUGGAAGAGUACACUGACAACUAAGAGAUCAGCCUGAUGUAGUAAGUCGUGCUUUUAACAUUAAGUUAAAGCAGCUGUAACUGGAUCUUCGCGACAGUAGGCAUUUUGGAAGAGUGAAGGAAGGAUAUAGAGAGAUCUUGAUGAAAAAAAUGGUGGUUCGCUCCAGGAAAUUCCUAUUCAGAAAAUACGAUACCCUGAUAUAUCAAGCAUGAGGGAUUUGGAAAUUCGUUAAUCAUGAAGGAGAUACUACAAGUCUACAACAAAUCGGAACUCUAGGAAGAAUUUGGCAGGCUGAGGGAAAACCAUUAUUUCUUCGAUGCGUGCGAGAUCCGAGAUAGUUUGGUUGUUGCAACUUCAGUGGUGCGAAAUGUAUACAUGUUGACCAUCAUUUCAUUCCACGGGUAUUGCAUAUAUAUCACUUUCCGGUGGCCAUACAACGCGUUCCAGAUUCAAGAUUUUUAUAAGGCUGGAUGAGAUGAACUUACCGGGCUGCUAAAAAAAGACGAACUUAAUUAUAUGGGAUGAAUCUCUCAUGGAAAAUCGAUAUGCAUUCGAGGCACUGGAUAAAACUUUGAGAGAUGUGAUGACACUCUAAGGUGGCGAUACUGCUAACACAAAACCAUUCGGUAUUCUUCAUUAUCUUAGCACCAACUAAUCAAAGUGUAAAAGAGGUGAAUUAUCAUAUGAUAGACACCUGCGGAAGAGUAUGAAUUGUUGAGUGCAGAUUCAAUCAAUCCGCAAUCGUACAAUUUCCAAGAAGCAGUGGUGUUGAACAUUAAGAAAUUUCUAAAUGGAUUACAAAUAUCAGGCAUGCCAAGACACAAGAUGUCACAUUAAGUUGGUUUUUCAUAAUGCUUCUCAGAAAUAUUGAUCAUCCAGGAUUUGUGCAAUGGACUAGAAUUAUCGUUAAAGAAGUGGGAAUGUAAUGCAGGCGAUCGCAACUCUCACUCAUUCUACAUAGGAGGCAGUUUCCAUUGAAGAUGUGUUUCCAUUUAUUUAGAUGAACCUGUUUUCUCUCAUGGCCAGUUGCGUUUGAAGUUUCGAGGACUACAAGCCGAAGCCAUCAAGGAUGUAUAGAAAACGCAGUUGUUUAUGAAAAGAUAUUCGGUAAUCUGAAGUGAUACCAACACCAGUCUCAUGUAGUUCAAAAAAAUUUCAAGUGCAAUUGGAUCGUUGCUUUUUAAGAUUGUCUAGAUUAAUUAUUUAGUUUUUUUUUUUUUUGAAGGAUAACUUUUUUCAGUUGGAUCUAAUCUAAUGGGUUUUAUUGACCGUGGGAUCACCCUGAGUUAUGUUAAUGGAAGAAAUUGCAUUCGACGA